UACGUAGGCGGAAAAUUAAGUCAGUAGUGAAAUCCUGCAGCUUAACUGUAGAAUUGUUAUUGUUACUGGUUUUCUUGAAUAUAGUUGAGGUAGGCGGAAUGUGUAAUGUAGCGGUGAAAUGCUUAGAUAUUACACAGAACACCGAUUGCGAAGGCAGCUUACUAAGCUAUGAUUGACGCUGAGGUACGAAAGCGUGGGGAGCGAACAGGAUUAGAUACCCUGGUAGUCC
Molecule: ribosomal RNA, 229 nt
Filed under: uncultured bacterium
Lineage: Bacteria
Description: partial 16S ribosomal RNA
Rfam family: Bacterial small subunit ribosomal RNA
Source: RNAcentral